Molecule: ribosomal RNA, 482 nt
Filed under: uncultured bacterium
Lineage: Bacteria
Description: bacterial SSU rRNA
Rfam family: Bacterial small subunit ribosomal RNA
Source: RNAcentral
AUUGAACGCUGGCGGAAUGCUUUACACAUGCAAGUCGAACGGUAGAGGGGGCAACCCCUUGAGAGUGGCGAACGGGUGAGUAAUAUAUCGGAACGUGCCCAGUCGUGGGGGAUAACGUAGCGAAAGUUACGCUAAUACCGCAUACGAUCUACGGAUGAAAGCGGGGGACUCGCAAGAGCCUCGCGCGAUUGGAGCGGCCGAUAUCAGAUUAGGUAGUUGGUGGGGUAAAGGCUCACCAAGCCAACGAUCUGUAGCUGGUCUGAGAGGACGACCAGCCACACUGGAACUGAGACACGGUCCAGACUCCUACGGGAGGCAGCAGUGGGGAAUUUUGGACAAUGGACGCAAGUCUGAUCCAGCCAUUCCGCGUGCAGGAUGAAGGCCCUCGGGUUGUAAACUGCUUUUGUACAGAACGAAAAGGCUCUGGUUAAUACCUGGGGCUCAUGACGGUACUGUAAGAAUAAGCACCGGCUAACUACGUG